ACACUCCUACGGGGCAGCAGUGGGGAAUUUUGGACACUGGGCGAAAGCCUGAUCCAGCCAUGCCGCGUGCAGGAUGAAGGCCUUCGGGUUGUAAACUGCUUUUGUACGGAACGAAACGGCCUUUUCUAAUAAAGAGGGCUAAUGACGGUACCGUAAGAAUAAGCACCGGCUAACUACGUGCCAGCAGCCGCGGUAAUACGUAGGGUGCAAGCGUUAAUCGGAAUUACUGGGCGUAAAGCGUGCGCAGGCGGUUAUGUAAGACAGUUGUGAAAUCCCCGGGCUCAACCUGGGAACUGCAUCUGUGACUGCAUAGCUAGAGUACGGUAGAGGGGGAUGGAAUUCCGCGUGUAGCAGUGAAAUGCGUAGAUAUGCGGAGGAACACCGAUGGCGAAGGCAAUCCCCUGGACCUGUACUGACGCUCAUGCACGAAAGCGUGGGGAGCAAACAGGAUUAGAAACCCUUGUAGUCCCAUGAU
This 475-nucleotide ribosomal RNA is filed under the name uncultured organism. Its description in RNAcentral is "partial 16S ribosomal RNA". It matches the Rfam family "Bacterial small subunit ribosomal RNA", at positions 333 to 801 of the family's 1533-position model. The record is from RNAcentral.